AUGCCACCAAAAGGUAGCAUGCCAAAGAAACAACGGGUGGCGAACAAUACUCACCCAUAUUUGAUAUAUUUCAUGUUACAACAUAAACAUACAUAUUGCAGGUUACCAGCAUUCAUUAUCACUUCAUACAUGUUUGUUGCCACCUGCAGAUUAAACAUGCCUAGGAUGCAGGUGACAAGUAAAACAACAAUAUGA
Molecule: non-coding RNA, 195 nt
Organism: Vicia faba (fava bean)
Lineage: Eukaryota; Viridiplantae; Streptophyta; Magnoliopsida; Fabales; Fabaceae
Source: the annotation of a GenBank genome assembly